AUUGAACGCUGGCGGCAGGCCUAACACAUGCAAGUCGAGCGAGCGGCGGACGGGUGGGUAAUGUAUGGGGACUGCCCGAUAGAGGGGGAUAACUACUGGAAACGGUAGCUAAUACCGCAUACUAUCGGAUAACCCAUAUGGGAUUAGCUAGUAGGUAAGGUAAUGGCUGACCUAGGCGACGAUCCCUAGCUGUUCUGAGCGGAUGAUCAGCCACACGGGGACUGAGACCUGGCCCAGACGCCUACGGAGGCAGCAGGGGGGAAUAUUGCACAAUGGGCGCAAGCCUGAUGCAGCCAUGCCGCGUGUAUGAAGAAGGCCCUAGGGUUUUAAAGUAAUUUCAGUCGGGAGGCGUUACCGACAGAAGAAGCACCGGCUAACUCCGUGCCAGCAGCCGCGGUAAUAC
Molecule: ribosomal RNA, 403 nt
Filed under: uncultured bacterium
Lineage: Bacteria
Description: partial 16S ribosomal RNA
Rfam family: Bacterial small subunit ribosomal RNA
Source: RNAcentral